This 279-nucleotide ribosomal RNA is filed under the name uncultured bacterium. Its description in RNAcentral is "partial 16S ribosomal RNA". It matches the Rfam family "Bacterial small subunit ribosomal RNA", at positions 335 to 608 of the family's 1533-position model. The record is from RNAcentral.
ACUCCUACGGGAGGCAGCAGUGGGAAUUUUGGACAAUGGGCGCAAGCCUGAUCCAGCCAUUCCGCGUGAGUGAAGAAGGCCUUCGGGUUGUAAAGCUCUUUCGCAAGGGAAGAAAACUUACUUUCUAAUAAAGAGUGAGGCUGACGGUACCUUGAUAAGAAGCACCGGCUAACUACGUGCCAGCAGCCGCGGUAAUACGUAGGGUGCGAGCGUUAAUCGGAAUUACUGGCGUAAAGCGUGCGCAGGCGGUUUGGCAAGUCAGAUGUGAAAUCCCGACGC